This is a long non-coding RNA of Dalotia coriaria, 500 nucleotides long. RefSeq lists it as uncharacterized. The record is from RefSeq and is a predicted model, not a curated record. NCBI's taxonomy places the organism in Eukaryota, Metazoa, Arthropoda, Insecta, Coleoptera, Staphylinidae. The transcript is spliced from 2 exons.
UGCUCAUAAUAUACAUAAAUAUCAUGACGUCAUAUACAUAACAUUAGUUUAGGGUAUAAAAACCCUACACUGAUCUACAUUAACUCUAUUCUACUCGUCCUUUUGCUGUAAAGUCAAAAGUAAAACACUUACAACACAAUAAUGGCAAAAUUCCUGAUUCUUUUCGCAACUUUAGCCCUAGCAGCGACUGUGGUCCUUGCAGAACAAGAAAACACCGAGGGAGAUUUAGUUUGGACGCCAGGAAAAAUCGUAGUCAACUUUAUUCAGAACGUCUUCUGGGGCAUCCGUGCUAUUGUAUUCCUUAUUCCAGUUGGCAUCUUCCAGCUUCUCAUGGGUGAUAUGGGCAUUCUUACAUAUUUAGUGUACUUUUUGGAUCGUGGUAUUGCCGGUGUCUACCGUUUCAUCGCUUCUUUCUUUGGAUAAAUCAUGAAUAACUGUUCUAAUAUUGACUUUUGAUUAAUUUACUGAUAAAUAAAUAAACAGCAACUAUUAAUUGACAA